RNAcentral lists this long non-coding RNA (401 nucleotides) under Nicotiana benthamiana. RNAcentral describes it as "long non-coding RNA (NBEN_LNC017700)". The record is from RNAcentral. Lineage: Eukaryota; Viridiplantae; Streptophyta; Magnoliopsida; Solanales; Solanaceae.
UAAACAAAGUGUCACGUGUAUUUAGAAUUUAAAAGAAAUAAAUAAAUAGAGAAAGAAUUUGAACCUUAAAUCUCAUACGGGUUCUGAAUCAACCUUUGGACUGGAGCUUGAUCAACGACCUCAAUGGCCCUCAACGAAAGAUGAAUCUCGAUUUCCAAAUGAUAACCAAAUUUGAACAAGGCGAUAAUUCCACAUCUAAAUUCGACCAAUGGUUCCAGCUUCAAUAAGAUUUAUACCAAAAUAGUGGAAGAGGGAAGUGUGAGCAAAAGAAAAUAUGUGAGAUUAAAAGUAGAAUAAUAAGAAGGAAUGAGAUUUGGUGAAAAUUCUUUGAAGUGUUCUUUGUCAAGGGAGAUGGCGGUCGUUUUUAUAAGGCAACGACGCUGAUUUUUGUGAGGGUGCCC